CACGAGUGGAAUUAUCGAGGAUUACCGCCUAAUAAAGAAGAAGAAGAAGAAGAAGCAUCAUCAAUUUCUUCAUCUUCAGCCUGAGUUUUUGUCUUUACACAACAACUUAUAUAUGUGUCAUCAAUUUCUUCAUCUUCAGCUUGAGUUUUUGUCUUUACACAACGACUUAUAUAUAUGUCAUGUCACAAUAACCUGCCCUUUUCUUUUUGAGUCCAAUUAUUUUUAUAUUAUAUUUAUAUAUGAGUUUCAUAUAUUCUUCUAUUGCUAAAAGUAAAACAAAAUACUUGGAAUGGGAAGAAUAAUUGAAUAUGAAAGUAUUUUAAAUUAAGUAUAUUGGUGGAACAACUCAAAUAAGAUAGAAAAUUCAGUGAUUCAGUGAAAGCCCAACAAAUCGAACAUUGAAUCACACAAAAACAAAAUAUUAUUCAACAAACUAGAUAUCCUGUUCUUUCUUGUAAUGUUUUGUUUGAGAGGAUCAAAGAGAUGAAUCUCUCUAUUGAAGAAGAGAAAUUGUCAGUAACUACCAAUUGCCUGAACUAUUGUACGCUCUCUCCACUUAUAAAAAGUAGCAAUAGUUUUGAGUUACAACUUCCUGUAAAUUUAUCUCAUUUAAACAAGACUAGAUUAAUUACGUGUGAUAUAACCAUUCAAUCAAAUUUAGCAUCAGUCAAAAAUAUUUGAACUUCUGCAUUUGCAAACCAUAUUAAAUAUCAGACGAAGAGGGGUGAUGUUUGACCUUCACAUGGCCUUCAGAGGUGACUGUCCAACCUUUUGUCCAAAUCGAGUAAACUCGAAUUGUUUUUAGGAAAAAUUACACAAGAAGGCAAACAUGUGAUGAAUUUAUGAUUAACUACUAUAGUUCAAAAUAAUUACAGUUCGCAACUAUAGGUAGGGUUUUACAUCAAAUUUUUCUCUCCUCUCUCCUACCAGUGCCCCCUCCUCUCUCGAUCUCGCUCGCCUAUUUCCUCAUAAUAUAUAGCUAAAUACAAUAGUUUUUGAUACAACUGUAUUCAUUUUGAUACAAAUCAGUUGUAUCAACUGUAUUCGUGAUACAACAUGUAUUCAACUCUCUCUCUUCAAGAUGUCGCUCGCCUCUCUCCCCCCUCUCAAAGUCUCGCUUGCCUCUCUCUUCCCCCAAACAUAUAUCUAUAAUUUGCAAUUUAGCGAACUAUAGUUGUGGAUCUCUAUAAUUAAGUAUAAACUAUAGUCAUUUUUGAAAGUUUUCCAAAAAAAAAGAAGGAAAAAUUACAUAAAUACACAACUCAAGAUAUCAUAAUCUCUAAAAUUUCUUACCAUUUAAAAAAAUUACAAAAAUUUCCUCUCGGAUACAUGUUUAUCCCCUCUAGGAUACAUCCCCCCCUCUGGAUACAUCUCUCCCAUUAAGUAAUAUAUCAUUUGUAAUGUAUCGUACAACCCAGAAAUGUAUCCGAGAGUAAUGAAAAAUCUGAGAUUUUUGUAAUUGGAGAAACUUCUGAAAUAAGAUGUAAUUAACCAAAUAUAUGAGAUUUAUGUAAAAUGCCAAAAACAAUUACCUAAAUACACAACUUAUUUUACCAUAUUCUCUAAAAAAAUCAACCAUUUGAAAAAAUCACAAAAAAUCCUACUAUCUCCUAUUCUUGGAUACAUCACUUUACGCGAUGUAUCGGUCGGAUACAUCACUUCAUAUGAUGUAUCGAUCGGAUACAUCACUUCACAUGAUGUAUCAAUCAGAUACAUCACUUUACGUGAUGUAUCGAGACGUACGCAAUGUAUCAGGACAUUGAGUGAUGUAUCGAGACGUUGAAUGAUGUAUUUGAAAUCGAGACGCAAUGUAUUAGAAUGUUAAGCGAUGUAUCCGAAAUUGGGACACGAUCUAUCGGGACACUUUUGGGUGUAUACGCAUUCCACCAAAUUUAAGAAAUUUGUGUAAUUUAAAAAGGAAUAGAGAUAGGAUGUAAUUAGCUCAUUUGCAUGAAAUUCCCAUAAAAUAUUAUGAAAUGGGUACUAGUUAAGUGACAAGCCCAAAAACAUAUGUUUGUGCACUUGGUUCUGAAUUAAGCCCUUUCUUGGGCCUUGUAUGUUGUUGUAGUGCAAAAGUAUCAUGGGGCCCUGUAUAAGACCCAGCCCAGAGGCUCAAAUAGGAAACUGGCUAGAGAUAGGAGACGGUGCCGAGUGUUAUCCACUUCUUUCUCGUUCCGAUUUCUUAUUCUUUCUUCUUCUUCUUGUAUCAGAAAAAAGAAAGAAAAGAAAAGAAAAGAAAAAUGGCGUCUUUAUCGAGUUGUAAUCAUCCAGGGAAACUCUGUUCCUCGUUUUCACCUUCAUCCCUUAAGUUGUCUUGGGUCCAACGGGUGUCGGUUCAGUUCAUUCACACCCACAGCCACACUUGUUCCCUUCCUUGUGCUCCAAGGGCUCUCACUGUCAUUUCCAUGGCCCCCCCUAAGCCUGGUGGUGGUAAAGCCAAGAAAGGUAUUAUUUUCAUUUUGCUUGUUUAGUUUGGGGUUUCAAUCUUUUUACUGAUGGGUUGCAUUUUGUUACAGUCACUGGUAUUAUAAAGUUAGCUCUCGAGGCAGGGAAGGCAACCCCUGCUCCACCCGUGGGUCCGGCCUUGGGUUCCAAAGGUGUUAACAUCAUGGCAUUCUGUAAGGAUUACAAUGCCAGAACUGCUGACAAAGCUGGUUAUGUUAUUCCUGUCGAAAUCACCGUCUAUGAUGUCAGUUCUUCAUUUUUAUUGUCAAUUAAUUCAAACAUGAUUAAAGUCUUACUAGUAUCUCAUUGUGCUUCUUCCUUCUCUUCCAGGAUAGAAGCUUCACUUUUAUCUUGAAGACCCCACCUGCUUCUGUUUUGCUGCUCAAGGCUGCAGGUAUUUGGAAUUUUUACCUUUAACUGCUAAAAAUGUGAAGGUUUAGUUUAGAGGCAAGUCAGGAAAACUAAAUGAUUCAUUUAGAGUUAGUGGAAGAGAUACCAUUUAGCUUGAACAUCAACGACACAAGAAUGUAUUUGAUUUACUGAUUGAUGUACGAUGCUCAAGGUCACAGAGUUUGGAGUUGGCUACCUUGGUGCUGAAUCAAUGUGCAAUAUCAAGCUAGUUUUGGAUGAGGACAUCAUAUCCUGGCCUAUUACUACCACACCCUUGCUUGUUGUUCCAACAUCAGUUACCAUAACUGUAUGAUACAUAUGACCCAUGGGUCUCUUACAAGGGCAACUAGCCGACCUGUCUCCCAGAAUUCCAUAAAUAUUUGCUUGCAGUUUGAGAUCAAGAAAUUCAUAACAUCCUCUUUAGCUCUAUAGACUUAUAGAGUACUUAUAAAAGAAAGGUCUUUAGUCUAUAGACAUUAAAAUUUAUGACAGCAAGGAAGAUGAAGGGUUAAGCACCUCCCUAUGCACUUCCUAAACAAUAGACACCCUUGAAGACAACCACUUGAUAUACUACCCCAUGAUCUUGGCUUGAAUCAGGAACUAGAACUAGUUCAUGGCUGAUAUUAGUUAAGCGCCUCACUGUGCACUUUCUAAACAAAAGACGCCUGUGAAGACUACAACUCGAUAUACUAUCCAACGAUCUUGGCUUGAAUUGGGUAUUAGAACAGGAUACUUUAGAGUCUUGUUUAUGAAGAUUUUCCCUCCUUCCAUGAUAUUUUUUGUAGUAGGACGUAGACAUGUAAAAUUACCGAAAAACUAAACUGAAAACUCCCUUUUUUUUUAUUUUCCAUGUUGCUCUGCUAGAUGGUUGGGCAGAAAGGGAGAAAGAAAAAAAAGAAAUAUUGAAAUCUGAAUUAGAAAAACAGUUGACUCUCUUUCUCUCUGGGUGGAGAAUGACAGAGACCCGUCAUAAAUAUAUAUGCUCUGACUGUGGUUUUCUACUCAUAGACUAUAGUUCUAUGCUCAUCCAAAUUAAGCAGUAGAUUUAAACAUUUCGUGUUUGGAUUGGCAAAAUCAUUACUGAAGUAACCCAUCCCAUUGGGAAUCAUAAGAAUGCAUCACACUAUUUGGGCAUGCUGUCCUUGCUUCACCAAACUAUAAAACUAAUGAAAUGAACUCCUUCGUUAUUGUAUAAGCACUGUUUUUUGGGUUACAGUUGAUUAUAACAACAUGAAAGGUAAUUUUUAAAGUAGAUAACAGUGAGUGAAAUAAAUUUGCUCAAAAAGUAGAAUCAUUAGCUUGUUCUACUAGAUGUUUAUGCAUACUGCUGUUAUCCCCCUUCUUUGGUAUAUGGGGUCAAACCCCCUGUUUUAUUCAGGGGAAAAUGCCAGCACUGACUUAGUGCUUGAUCAUCUUGAUGAAUAAGAUCUUUGCUUAUCCCACAAUAAAAAGUGUAAUUUCACAAUUUGGAAAUCAGGUGUUCGAUCAAAAUAGUACACCUUGUAGAUGUGAAUGUGAACUUGUGCUGGAGUUUAGCUUUUUAUGGUGCAGUUACUCUAUCUUUGCUAUAGCCUGGAUGUUAUAUGUUGUGGUGCAUACAAAAGUUUGGAUAGUUUUGGUUAGUUUCCAAAGAUGUAAAUAUGUAUGUAUGAUUAAUUAUUUUAUCACUUUGUAGGAGUGGAAAAGGGCUCGAAGGACCCACAGAGGGAGAAAGUGGGAAAAAUAACUAUUGAUCAAUUGAAGAUAAUUGCUCAAGAGAAGCUGCCGGAUCUUAAUUGUUCUACGAUUGAAUCUGCAAUGAGGAUUAUAGCUGGCACUGCAGCAAAUAUGGGAAUUGACAUUGACCCUCCGAUUCUUGAACCUAAAAAGAAAGAGCUUGUGUACUAGUUGUGCCUUUUCUAUUUCCAUGUAAUGUAUCCCUGUAUUAGAAGCAAAAAAAUUUGGAAGAGAAGUAGAUUGACUGCAGAAAGAGGAUCUCCCCGUGUACCUUCGAAUCUUUGUGUCUCUGUCUUUGGACUCUUCAUUCCUUAAUUAUUUUGAAUAUAUGAUGAAUGCCUAAGACACACUCUCAAGUGCAAGAUGCCAAUCCAACUUUUCGUCCAAGUGCCAUAAAUUGAAGAAGAAACAUUAGUCUGCUUGAAUUGUUUUCAACUACACCAUUUAUCAAGAGAAGAUGGCACAAACAUUUACUACUAAGAAAGCCUAUACAUUUCUUCAAAAGAAAGGACUGAUUGAUGCACACUUUAGUUUUUUUUUUCUUUUCAAUCCUAACUUCAAAUGUGUGUUGUUAAAAAUUUCACGUAUGCAUUGAAAAUAGACUAAUAUAACCUUUGAUUGUUUAAGUUUCAGUAGAGAGAAUGAAAUAUACAAAGCAGAGUCAUUGUUACCCAACCUAUGUUUUAGAGUCAUUCUUUCUACAUUAAGAAGAAGAAGAAAAAAGUAGACUCUACUUAAAAACGUUUGUAUGUAUAGGUUGGGUCAUAGGUUUGGGGGCAGAGAGAUCCUAAAAGCCAACAUGUCUGGCUGGAAACGUUUGUAUAGUGAGUGGGCCUUGGAUGUUUGGGUCCAUAUAUAGUUGGUUGGGAUCCAUCAGGAAUGGAUAAUAAGUAAGAUAAGGAGAGCCACCCACAACAUUUAUAUUGUGAAGCUAGCUCCCUGGCAGUGGCAGUAGCAGUAGGAGAAAUUAAAAUGAAAGCAAUUGAAAUAUACUGGUAUGGGGGCUUAGCCGCUUCCACUCUAUCACAAUCAUCAUCGUGUAUUUCCAAGGUUCAUCAGAGGUGCCUGCGUUUCAACCGAACAAAAAUCAAAGCAGUUGCAAGUAGUGAGAGAUCGAGAGAAGCAGUAGCACAUGAGGAGGAAGAGGCUUGUGUGAAGUUUGCCUUUGUCAGCGUGAGUAGUCUAAUUCAUCAUGAGUUAAUAUAUGAGUAGUCCCAUUACCAUUAAUAAGUACUCGUAAUUCGUUCAGUCAGUAUUCCUACCAGAUGGAACACCAGAUGUGCAGCUAAGGAAAGCAUGUGGUGGCCAAAAACUUAGAGACAUAAUGCUCGAUGCUAAUGUCGAGUUGUAUGGACCUUAUGUAUGUACUAGAGUAUUUCUUAUCAUCUCAUCCAGUUACUUAUGUAUAUAUAUAUAUAAUUAUUACUCCUAUAUAUUUAAGGCAAGACCUUUGCUCAAUUGUGGGGGAGGAGGAACUUGUGCCACAUGUUUGGUUGAGGUGAGUGUGAACAUUUGGUUUACUGCCCUAAAUUAAACUUGAUUAGCAUAUCUAACAUCGACAUCAAUUAUAGGUGGUUGAAGGAAAGGAGCUACUCAAUCCUCGCACAGACAAGGAGAAUGAAAAUUUAAAACGGGUAUAAUAUAUAUACGAGCAAGUCAUGAAUAUAUAUAUAUAUAUAUAUAUAUAGUACUGCUGUUAAUUUGUAUAUAUAUAAUUUUCAGCAUCCAAAGAAUUGGAGGCUUGCUUGUCAGGCAAUAGUUGGUAAACCUGAUUCAAGAGGCAUGGUACGUAUGGAUCGAAUUUUAUAUAACGUCUUAAUUAAUCUCCAACUGUUCGUCUAUUGACCAGUAAUCAGUUUGUACAGAUGACCAUUCAGCAACUUCCGGAAUGGAAAGCACACGAGUGGAAUUAUAGAGGAUUACCGCCUAAUGAAGAAGAAGCAGCAGCAGCAUCAAUUUCUUCAUCUUCAGCCUGAGUUUUUAUAUUUACACAACACUUAUAUAUAUGUCAUGUCACAAUAACCUGCUCUUUUCUUUUUGAGUCCAAUUAUUUUUAUAUACAUUUAUAUAUGAGCUUCGUAUAUUCUUCUAUUUGCUAAAAGUAAAACAAAAUACUUGGAAUGGGAAGAAUAAUUGAAUAUGCCAUCAAAAGAACUGCCUCAAAUUGUGUUGGAAUUGAAAUAAUAGGGCGUCAUGCUAAAGAUAAAAAUUUGAUCAAUUGACCUAUGCUUAUAUAAAAAAAGUUUUUAAAAUUAA
Molecule: long non-coding RNA, 6807 nt
Filed under: Solanum tuberosum (potato)
Lineage: Eukaryota; Viridiplantae; Streptophyta; Magnoliopsida; Solanales; Solanaceae
Description: long non-coding RNA (STUB_LNC008629)
Source: RNAcentral